UGCCGAUCUUGCCCUGAUAAGUUGAUUUGUAAUGGUUGCUUUAUUUGACCACUGCAGAGUUCAAUAUUAUAGUGUGCGUGUGUCUCAGUAUCCUUACAAAUAUGCAUACUGUAUGACAGAUACAGGUAAAAAUAAUCUUCUCUCUAACACUUUAAAUGUUAGGGGUGGACCUCAUCGGACCCUUCACGAAAUCCAGGAAUAGUAAAGGAAGAGUACGUGCUUAACUACCCUUCUGUAACCCAUUAAAAAGGGUGCUUGCAACCAAAAAUAGAUUUUCGUUUUGUAGAAUACCCAUCAAGGACGAGACUGGCGAGGCCACCUCCAAGGUGAUGGUGGACAUCUUCAACACCCACGGGUCUCCGGAGGUCAUCUUGAGUGACCGAGGUCAUGAGCGUUGGAACAAGGUUUGGUGUAUGGACCAACCAGACCCUUAAGACUGCCAUGGGAAAGCCCCUUGAUUGGUACCAGGAAGGGUGGGAGAACAACCUGAAGGUAAUUCUCUUUGCACACAACAGCAGCAUCCAGGCCGCGUACAGACGGGAGUCGCAGCUGUUGACUGAGAUCACUGAAACUCCACCUGAUGUGGUGGAAGUUGUCAAACCAGAUCAGAACGCCAUAGAGGACUACCUUCAGGCACAGACUGAAGGAUGUGGAGGUUUUUGACUAGAGCUGGAAAAUGGAUCAGAACGUUUGAAGAGCAAACCAUGGGGAAACUACUGGCUGUGGGGGAUCUGAAGGCACUGCUGGCGAGAGUAGCAGGAGCGGCAAAAUUGGAGGAUGUACUGGAUGCCAGUGGCCUGAGAGUGGCAAUAGGGGAUCCAAUGAGGGAUGGAGUGGACUUUGAUACAUACUGUCCAGGAGUCUGGAAAGCCCUAAGAGACGAGUACUCUGCACGGAUGGACACAAAGUCACUAAAAGGAGAGCUACUGGGGGUGACAGAGAAUCUGGCUGUGUACUUACACAGACAGCUGAAACGAUGGAGGCAGGAAACAGAACAGAAUCCAGAGGGAGACCCACUGAUGACAACUCUGUUCCGAAACUCAGUGAUAGAAGCCAUGCCCCAGCCAGUGAGAAGCAAGCUGGAGGAUGUAGUGGGACUGACUUCAAAAUCACACAAAAGAAUUCUGUGACCAUGUCAUUCAUGCAGUGGAAAAACACAGAAAGGAUUAACAGAAACUCACAGAACAAGAAAAAAACAUUCAGAGAAAAAUAGCUCAGCUUCAGCUGGAAGAAUUGACCUACAAAGGAAAAAAGAAAAUCUAGGCUCCAGUGACAAUACCUGUGCCGGAAGUAGGGACAAUGGCUGCAGUCUCCCCAGGAGGGCCGCAACUGCCUCCCGUCCAGCAAGCCCAAGUGCAGCCCACACCACCAGUAUGCACAACAACCCCAACAAUUUAAUAAUGACAAAUGGGCAACAUAGACAUCCACAGAACAAUCAGAGAAAAGGAUUUAGCAGGCCACAGGGGCCACCUGGGACCUGUUGGGGAUGUUACCAGCUAGGACACUUCAAAAUAAAAGGUAUAAUGUUGGUAAACAAAGGGUUCAAAGCAAAAGAAUUGGGACUCAUGGUGAAGAAAGCCAAGAAUUGUAAAUGGAAUAAAACAGACAAUCCAUUGAUUUUCCACUCUAAAGAUAAAGCCUUUAUAAAGAUACUGACCACAAUGGGGAUCCAAGGGUAGUAGAGGUUACAGCUAAUCAACAAAUACAAUUAGGAGAUAAUAUUGAAUCAAUAAGUGAACAGAGACACGAAAUGGAAAAAAAUUUACCUGAAGGGGUAUGGUCGCAACAUGACACAGACGUAGGAUUGGUUAACCUCUCUGGGAUCGUUCGGGACGCAAGCGUCCCACCUCGCCAACAGCCAGUGAAAUUGCAGGGCGCCAAAUUCAAACAACAGAAAUCUCAUAAUUAAAAUCCCUCAAACAUACAAGUAUUAUACACCAUUUUAAAGAUACAUUUCUUGUUAAUCCAGCCACAGUGUCCGAUUUCAAAAAGGCUUCACGGUGAAAGCACACCAUGUGAUUAUGUUAGGUCAGCGCCUAGCCACAGAAAACCAUACAGCCAUUUUCCAAAGAAGGAGAGGUGUCACAAAAGUCAGAAAUAGCAUUAAAAUUAAUCACUAACCUUUGAUGAUCUUCAUCUGAUAGCACUCCCAGGUCUCUAUGUUAGACAAUAAAUGUUUGUUUUGUUCGAUAAAGUUCAUCUUUAUGUCCAAAUACCUCCUUUUUGUUCGCGCG
This 2234-nucleotide long non-coding RNA is filed under the name Salmo salar (Atlantic salmon). RNAcentral's name for it is "lncRNA (ENSSSAG00000082123.1)". Lineage: Eukaryota; Metazoa; Chordata; Actinopteri; Salmoniformes; Salmonidae. The record is from RNAcentral.